This 302-nucleotide unclassified non-coding RNA is filed under the name Hevea brasiliensis (rubber tree). Lineage: Eukaryota; Viridiplantae; Streptophyta; Magnoliopsida; Malpighiales; Euphorbiaceae. The record is from RNAcentral.
GGCCUACAUCCAUCAAAUGCUGACCGGAAAACCUUUUGUUACGCUCAGAUACUCCCUCUCGGUCAAUGGCCACCUUUUAAAUCAACUUGGGGAAGGAGUCACAGAGUGUGGUGGAUACUACUCAAAAUUGUUACAGGAAUAUGAUGCAAUUAUAGUUUCUAGCUCAUUAAUUGACAAGUUUUUAGUUCCUACAUCACAAGAACCUGGUGCCAAUCAACCCCUUUGUGUCAUAACUGCAGCUUCUCGUUCUUCUCCAAUCCAAAUCCGUUCUGUAGGGCAAGAAGCAGCAUCCAAAAUGAUUA